GACGAACGCUGGCGGCGUGCUUAACACAUGCAAGUCGAACGGAAAGGCCCUGCUUUUGUGGGGUGCUCGAGUGGCGAACGGGUGAGUAACACGUGAGUAACCUGCCCUUGACUUUGGGAUAACUUCAGGAAACUGGGGCUAAUACCGGAUAGGAGCUCCUGCUGCAUGGUGGGGGUUGGAAAGUUUCGGCGGUUGGGGAUGGACUCGCGGCUUAUCAGCUUGUUGGUGGGGUAGUGGCUUACCAAGGCUUUGACGGGUAGCCGGCCUGAGAGGGUGACCGGCGACAUUGGGACUGAGAGACGCCCCAGACUGCUACGGGAGGCAGUAGUGGGGAAUAUUGCACAAUGGGCGGAAGCCUGAGGAAGCAACGCCGCGUGCGGGAUGACGGCCUUCGGGUUGUAAACCGCUUUCGCCUGUGACGAAGCGUGAGUGACGGUAAUGGGUAAAGAAGCACCGGCUAACUACGUG
This 468-nucleotide ribosomal RNA is filed under the name uncultured bacterium. RNAcentral's name for it is "partial 16S ribosomal RNA". It matches the Rfam family "Bacterial small subunit ribosomal RNA", at positions 28 to 507 of the family's 1533-position model. The record is from RNAcentral.